This 477-nucleotide ribosomal RNA is filed under the name uncultured bacterium. RNAcentral describes it as "partial 16S ribosomal RNA". It matches the Rfam family "Bacterial small subunit ribosomal RNA", at positions 355 to 824 of the family's 1533-position model. The record is from RNAcentral.
UAGGGAAUCUUCCACAAUGGACGCAAGUCUGAUGGAGCAACGCCGCGUGAGUGAAGAAGGUCUUCGGAUCGUAAAGCUCUGUUGUUGGUGAAGAAGGAUAGAGGCAGUAACUGGUCUUUAUUUGACGGUAAUCAACCAGAAAGUCACGGCUAACUACGUGCCAGCAGCCGCGGUAAUACGUAGGUGGCAAGCGUUGUCCGGAUUUAUUGGGCGUAAAGCGAGCGCAGGCGGAAUGAUAAGUCUGAUGUGAAAGCCCACGGCUCAACCGUGGAACUGCAUCGGAAACUGUCAUUCUUGAGUGCAGAAGAGGAGAGUGGAACUCCAUGUGUAGCGGUGGAAUGCGUAGAUAUAUGGAAGAACACCAGUGGCGAAGGCGGCUCUCUGGUCUGCAACUGACGCUGAGGCUCGAAAGCAUGGGUAGCGAACAGGAUUAGAUACCCUGGUAGUCCAUGCCGUAAACGAUGAGCGCUAGGUGUU